This 462-nucleotide ribosomal RNA is filed under the name Oenococcus oeni. RNAcentral's name for it is "bacterial SSU rRNA". It matches the Rfam family "Bacterial small subunit ribosomal RNA", at positions 1 to 436 of the family's 1533-position model. The record is from RNAcentral. Lineage: Bacteria; Bacillati; Bacillota; Bacilli; Lactobacillales; Lactobacillaceae.
UUUAAAUUGAGAGUUUGAUCCUGGCUCAGGAUGAACGCUGGUGGCGUGCCUAAUACAUGCAAGUCGUACGCUAGCCGCUGAAUUGAUCCUUCGGGUGAAGUGAGGCAAUGACUAGAGUGGCGAACUGGUGAGUAACACGUAAGAAACCUGCCCUUUAGUGGGGGAUAACAUUUGGAAACAGAUGCUAAUACCGCGUAACAACAAAUCACACAUGUGAUCUGUUUGAAAGGUCCUUUUGGAUCGCUAGAGGAUGGUCUUGCGGCGUAUUAGCUUGUUGGUAGGGUAGAAGCCUACCAAGGCAAUGAUGCGUAGCCGAGUUGAGAGACUGGCCGGCCACAUUGGGACUGAGACACUGCCCAAACUCCUACGGGAGGCUGCAGUAGGGAAUUUUCCGCAAUGCACGAAAGUGUGACGGAGCGACGCCGCGUGUGUGAUGAAGGCUUUCGGGUCGUAAAGCACUGU